GAACGACUCUCGGCAACGGAUAUCUUGGCUCUUGCAUCGAUGAAGAACGUAGCGAAAUGCAAUACUUGGUGUGAAUUGCAGAAUCCCGUGAACCAUCGAGUCUUUGAACGCAAGUUGCGCCCGAAGCCAUUAGGCCGAGGGCACGCCUGCCUGGGUGUCACAC
RNAcentral lists this ribosomal RNA (163 nucleotides) under Lespedeza thunbergii subsp. formosa. Its description in RNAcentral is "5.8S ribosomal RNA". It matches the Rfam family "5.8S ribosomal RNA". Rfam says of the family: 5.8S ribosomal RNA (5.8S rRNA) is a component of the large subunit of the eukaryotic ribosome. It is transcribed by RNA polymerase I as part of the 45S precursor that also contains 18S and 28S rRNA. Functionally, it is thought that 5.8S rRNA may be involved in ribosome translocation. Lineage: Eukaryota; Viridiplantae; Streptophyta; Magnoliopsida; Fabales; Fabaceae. The record is from RNAcentral.